UUUACUUGCAGUUGUUUAGUACCCUAUGAAUAGCACUAAUAGAGAAUAUAUCACCAUAAAAAUUGCUGAAAUAGUAGUAAGGAAAAGGACACACUUUAAUAUGCUAGAAUCAGUUAGAUAAUGCAUACCACAAGAGGCAAACCAGCGACAACGAAUACAUCCACUGAGUAGCCAUCGAUUGUUGAAAAUGAGUGUGGAUGCCAAGACCGAGAUCACCAAGAAAACAAGUGAGUUGUAAUUGUAUGUAUAAGUGUCGGUAUAAGAAUCGAACCAGAUACUGAGUAGUGGACCUGGUCUCAAUGUACUUUACAGUAAAGUUCAAGUGAUUUUAGUACAAUGACAAAAGCCUGUAAAAGGUGAUUCCACUAAAAGCCUGUAACGACCCCAGCGCAGCCUCGCCAUCGCACCUCGCCGGCGACGCUCCCGGACACACGCCCAGACCUAGAGGCCACCAUGGGGGCGAUGCCGCGGGUGCUCCCGAACGAGCUCGUCGAAUAGAUCCUCCUCCUCCGCCGCCUGAUGAUCCGGACUGCCUCCUCCGCGCCUCGCUCGUCUGCAAGACCUGGAGCGACAUUGUCUUCCACCGCGCGUUCUGCCGCCGCCACCACGAGCUACACAGGGAACCACCUGUCCUCGGCUUCCUCCACAACUGGAACGACGAGGUCAUCCCCCGCUUCACCCCCACCACCGCCUCAUCCUUCUCCCUCGCCG
Molecule: long non-coding RNA, 711 nt
Filed under: Hordeum vulgare
Lineage: Eukaryota; Viridiplantae; Streptophyta; Magnoliopsida; Poales; Poaceae
Description: long non-coding RNA (HVUL_LNC013857)
Source: RNAcentral